Molecule: long non-coding RNA, 463 nt
Organism: Gossypium arboreum
Lineage: Eukaryota; Viridiplantae; Streptophyta; Magnoliopsida; Malvales; Malvaceae
Exons: 2
Source: RefSeq, a predicted model, not a curated record
AUAGACUAGAUUGGCAAAAGCCGAAAAGCCGAAAUGCCGAAAAGUCGGUAUUUUGGGAAUUUGCGAGCGUGCGAAUGCUUGUAAAAUAGUUGGGUUUGUAUAUUUGGUAACCUAAAGUAAUAAACUGCAGUACGCGCGAUUUCGUACAUUUUGAUAAUUUGGGCUUAAUGGGCCAAAGAUCGGGUUCAUGGGCCAACGGGCCCAAUUCGGUAAGUAUGCGCGGUAAUCCCCAACCAUAGUGGGCUUGGAGCUGUGAGGGAAUUCGGAGUGGCCACCCUUUCUGAAAGUUUGAUUUUCUUCUGGUGAACUGGACAUCCUUUUAUUUACGUUUGAAGUUUUGGGUUUUUAAAUGUAAUAAGGCCGCUUAAUUAUUUUUGAUGGUUUUAAUAUGUAUUACUAAGAUAGGUAAUACUUAUUUUAACUGUUGAAAUUGGAUAGCUUUAGGGCGCGUUUUUAAAAACAA